GUGCACCAGGCGCGAAACCUCCGCAAUACACGAAAGUGUGACGGGGCCAUCCCGAGUGCCGUCCGCUGAGGACGGCUUUUCCCCAGUGUACACAGCUGGGGGAAUAAGGAGAGGGCAAGCCUGGUGUCAGCCGCCGCGGUAAUACCAGCUCUCCGAGUGGUGGGGACGCUUAUUGGGCCUAAAGCAUCCGUAGCCGGCUGGGCAAGUCCUCCGUUAAAAUCCAACGAUUCAAUCGUUGGGCUGCGGGGGAUACUGUCCAGCUUGGGGGCGGGAGAGGCCGACGGUAUUCCCGGGGUAGGGGUGAAAUCCUAUAAUCCCGGGAGGACCACCAGUGGCGAAGGCUGUCGGCUAGAACGCGCCCGACGGUGAGGGAUGAAAGCUGGGGGAGCGAACCGGAUUAGAUA
Molecule: ribosomal RNA, 404 nt
Filed under: uncultured microorganism
Description: bacterial SSU rRNA
Rfam family: Archaeal small subunit ribosomal RNA
Source: RNAcentral